Molecule: ribosomal RNA, 360 nt
Filed under: Triticum aestivum (bread wheat)
Lineage: Eukaryota; Viridiplantae; Streptophyta; Magnoliopsida; Poales; Poaceae
Description: partial small subunit ribosomal RNA
Source: RNAcentral
AUGCAACGAAGUUCAAGAAGAAUGAGACUCACACAACUGGCAGGGGUUGACAACCCCCAACUCAAUACAGUUGUCAAUCUACGUACCCCAGGGGUAACUUUUCAUGAUCAGGACUGCUUGGGAGACCGGAACCUUGGAGAAACUAGUGAUGUUGACCCUGAUGAAGAAGCUAGGAUGUUUGCUAGACCAGAUGUUGAUUUUGAAUCCUACCGAGUGGCACGGCAUCAUGGUGAUGGAACUAUCACUAAUGAGCAUCAUGACAGAACUGUGGAGCUUUGCGGUUCCAAUACGAGGGGCCUGCAUUUUGUUGCAGAAAGGGAAAAGUUGAUGUAUUUACUACAGAGGUUGAUGAAGAGUUGA